CCUACGGGUGGCAGCAGUGGGGAAUAUUGGACAAUGGGCGAAAGCCUGAUCCAGCCAUGCCGCGUGUGUGAAGAAGGCCUUCGGGUUGUAAAGCACUUUCAGUGGGGAAGAAAGCCUUGGGGCUAAUACCCUCGAGGAAGGACAUCACCCACAGAAGAAGCACCGGCUAACUCCGUGCCAGCAGCCGCGGUAAUACGGAGGGUGCGAGCGUUAAUCGGAAUUACUGGGCGUAAAGCGCGCGUAGGCGGUCUGAUAAGCCGGUUGUGAAAGCCCCGGGCUCAACCUGGGAACGGCAUCCGGAACUGUCAGGCUUGAGUGCAGGAGAGGAAGGUAGAAUUCCCGGUGUAGCGGUGAAAUGCGUAGAGAUCGGGAGGAACACCAGUGGCGAAGGCGGCCUUCUGGACUGACACUGACGCUGAGGUGCGAAAGCGUGGGUAGCAAACAGGAUUAGAUACCCUUGUAGUC
Molecule: ribosomal RNA, 465 nt
Filed under: Vreelandella stevensii
Lineage: Bacteria; Pseudomonadati; Pseudomonadota; Gammaproteobacteria; Oceanospirillales; Halomonadaceae
Description: partial 16S ribosomal RNA
Rfam family: Bacterial small subunit ribosomal RNA
Source: RNAcentral